This 482-nucleotide ribosomal RNA is filed under the name uncultured bacterium. Its description in RNAcentral is "partial 16S ribosomal RNA". It matches the Rfam family "Bacterial small subunit ribosomal RNA", at positions 29 to 523 of the family's 1533-position model. The record is from RNAcentral.
AAUGAACGUUGGCGGCGUGGAUUAGGCAUGCAAGUCGUGCGCGAAUCGUAGCAAUACGAGGAGAGCGGCGAAAGGGAGAGGAUAGCAUAGAUACCUACCCUCGGACCUGGGAUAGCUAUGGGAAACUAUAGGUAAUACCAGAUAACGUCUCCGGACCAAAGGUGUGAUUCCGUCCGGGGAGGGGUCUAUGUCCUAUUAGCUUGUUGGUGAGGUAACGGCUCACCAAGGCAAAGAUGGGUACGAGGCGUGAGAGCGUGUCCUCGCUCACUGGGACUGAGACACUGCCCAGACACCUACGGGUGGCUGCAGUCGAGAAUCUUCGGCAAUGGGCGCAAGCCUGACCGAGCGACGCCGCGUGUGGGAUGAAGGCCUUCGGGUUGUAAACCACUGUCGGUGCGGAGGAAAUAUAGGGGGGUACUCCCCUCUAUUUGACCUAUGCGCAGGGGAAGGACGGGCUAAGUUCGUGCCAGCCGCCGCCGUAA